RNAcentral lists this ribosomal RNA (497 nucleotides) under uncultured bacterium. RNAcentral describes it as "partial 16S ribosomal RNA". It matches the Rfam family "Bacterial small subunit ribosomal RNA", at positions 28 to 507 of the family's 1533-position model. The record is from RNAcentral.
GAUGAACGCUGGCGGCGUGCCUAAUACAUGCAAGUCGAGCGAACGGACGAGAAGCUUGCUUCUCUGAUGUUAGCGGCGGACGGGUGAGUAACACGUGGAUAACCUACCUAUAAGACUGGGAUAACUUCGGGAAACCGGAGCUAAUACCGGAUAAUAUUUUGAACCGCAUGGUUCAAAAGUGAAAGACGGUCUUGCUGUCACUUAUAGAUGGAUCCGCGCUGCAUUAGCUAGUUGGUAAGGUAACGGCUUACCAAGGCAACGAUGCAUAGCCGACCUGAGAGGGUGAUCGGCCACACUGGAGCUGAGACCCGGUCCAGACUCCUACGGGAGGCAGCAGUAGGGAAUCUUCCGCAAUGGGCGAAAGCCUGACGGAGCAACGCCGCGUGAGUGAUGAAGGUCUUCGGAUCGUAAAACUCUGUUAUUAGGGAAGAACAUAUGUGUAAGUAACUGUGCACAUCUUGACGGUACCUAAUCAGAAAGCCACGGCUAACUACGUG